CUACGGGCGGCUGUAGUGGGGAAUAUUGGACAAUGGGCGAAAGCCUGAUCCAGCCAUGCCGCGUGUGUGAAGAAGGCCUUCGGGUUGUAAAGCACUUUCAGUGGGGAAGAAAGCCUUGGGGCUAAUACCCUCGAGGAAGGACAUCACCCACAGAAGAAGCACCGGCUAACUCCGUGCCAGCAGCCGCGGUAAUACGGAGGGUGCGAGCGUUAAUCGGAAUUACUGGGCGUAAAGCGCGCGUAGGCGGUCUGAUAAGCCGGUUGUGAAAGCCCCGGGCUCAACCUGGGAACGGCAUCCGGAACUGUCAGGCUAGAGUGCAGGAGAGGAAGGUAGAAUUCCCGGUGUAGCGGUGAAAUGCGUAGAGAUCGGGAGGAAUACCAGUGGCGAAGGCGGCCUUCUGGACUGACACUGACGCUGAGGUGCGAAAGCGUGGGUAGCAAACAGGAUUAGAUACCCGAGUAGUC
This 464-nucleotide ribosomal RNA is filed under the name Vreelandella stevensii. Its description in RNAcentral is "partial 16S ribosomal RNA". It matches the Rfam family "Bacterial small subunit ribosomal RNA", at positions 339 to 795 of the family's 1533-position model. The record is from RNAcentral. Lineage: Bacteria; Pseudomonadati; Pseudomonadota; Gammaproteobacteria; Oceanospirillales; Halomonadaceae.